This 488-nucleotide ribosomal RNA is filed under the name Flavobacterium sp. CL1.151. Its description in RNAcentral is "bacterial SSU rRNA". It matches the Rfam family "Bacterial small subunit ribosomal RNA", at positions 1 to 496 of the family's 1533-position model. The record is from RNAcentral. Lineage: Bacteria; Pseudomonadati; Bacteroidota; Flavobacteriia; Flavobacteriales; Flavobacteriaceae.
UGAGCUUGAUCCCUGGCUCAGGAUGAACGCUAGCGGCAGGCUUAACACAUGCAAGUCGAGGGGUAUAGUUCUUCGGAAUUAGAGACCGGCGCACGGGUGCGUAACGCGUAUGCAAUCUACCUUUUACAGAGGGAUAGCCCAGAGAAAUUUGGAUUAAUACCUCAUAGUAUAAUGACUUGGCAUCAAGACAUUAUUAAAGUCACAACGGUAAAAGAUGAGCAUGCGUCCCAUUAGCUAGUUGGUAAGGUAACGGCUUACCAAGGCUACGAUGGGUAGGGGUCCUGAGAGGGAGAUCCCCCACACUGGUACUGAGACACGGACCAGACUCCUACGGGAGGCAGCAGUGAGGAAUAUUGGACAAUGGGCGCAAGCCUGAUCCAGCCAUGCCGCGUGCAGGAUGACGGUCCUAUGGAUUGUAAACUGCUUUUAUACGAGAAGAAACACUACUUCGUGAAGUAGCUUGACGGUAUCGUAAGAAUAAGGAUCGG